UGGAUUGAGAGCUUGCUCUCAAGAAGUUAGCGGCGGACGGGUGAGUAACACGUGGGUAACCUGCCCAUAAGACUGGGAUAACUCCGGGAAACCGGGGCUAAUACCGGAUAAUAUUUUGAACUGCAUGGUUCGAAAUUGAAAGGCGGCUUCGGCUGUCACUUAUGGAUGGACCCGCGUCGCAUUAGCUAGUUGGUGAGGUAACGGCUCACCAAGGCAACGAUGCGUAGCCGACCUGAGAGGGUGAUCGGCCACACUGGGACUGAGAACGGCCCCAGACUCCUACGGGAGGCAGCAGUAGGGAAUCUUCCGCAAUGGACGAAAGUCUGACGGAGCAACGCCGCGUGAGUGAUGAAGGCUUUCGGGUCGUAAAACUCUGUUGUUAGGGAAGAACAAGUGCUAGUUGAAUAAGCUGGCACCUUGACGGUACCUAACCAGAAAGCCACGGCUAACUACGUGCCAGCAGCCGCGGUAAUACGUAGGUGGCAAGCGUUAUCCGGAAUUAUUGGGCGUAAAGCGCGCGCAGGUGGUUUCUUAAGUCUGAUGUGAAAGCCCACGGCUCAACCGUGGAGGGUCAUUGGAAACUGGGAGACUUGAGUGCAGAAGAGGAAAGUGGAAUUCCAUGUGUAGCGGUGAAAUGCGUAGAGAUAUGGAGGAACACCAGUGGCGAAGGCGACUUUCUGGUCUGUAACUGACACUGAGGCGCGAAAGCGUGGGGAGCAAACAGGAUAGAUACCCUGGUAGUCCCGCCGUAAAC
RNAcentral lists this ribosomal RNA (754 nucleotides) under Bacillus sp. (in: firmicutes). RNAcentral's name for it is "bacterial SSU rRNA". It matches the Rfam family "Bacterial small subunit ribosomal RNA", at positions 68 to 807 of the family's 1533-position model. Lineage: Bacteria; Bacillati; Bacillota; Bacilli; Caryophanales; Bacillaceae. The record is from RNAcentral.